AAGUCGUAACAAGGUUUCCGUAGGUGAACCUGCGGAAGGAUCAUUAACAAUGAUAUCCAUCAUACACCGUGAACCUUUAAAAACUUGAAAUUUUUGGCAAGGUAAAAAGUAUUUUUAUAGUACCCAAAAAUUUUAAUUUUAACCACAACACUUCAAAUUUAUACUUAUAAUUGUUGAAAUAUUAAACAACUUUUAGCAACGGAUCUCUUGGUUCUC
RNAcentral lists this unclassified non-coding RNA (216 nucleotides) under fungal sp. Its description in RNAcentral is "partial internal transcribed spacer region". The stretch from base 1 to 46 matches the Rfam family "Eukaryotic small subunit ribosomal RNA", at positions 1786 to 1831 of the family's 1831-position model. The record is from RNAcentral. Lineage: Eukaryota; Fungi.